Molecule: long non-coding RNA, 428 nt
Filed under: Cicer arietinum (chickpea)
Lineage: Eukaryota; Viridiplantae; Streptophyta; Magnoliopsida; Fabales; Fabaceae
Description: long non-coding RNA (CARI_LNC003761)
Source: RNAcentral
AAGCAACCUCUCCCACCGACAUUUUCACACUAUAAAUCAAACAAUCAAAAGAGGAAAAAAAAAAGAAUAAAUAAUAUAAAAAAUGUUGAAUUUACUUAUUAUCAGAAUGUGGCAUGAAUAUCUGACAUAGAAAAGUACACGGCGAAGCUGGUUACCUUGAAGGAACGAGAUCGAAGAGGAGUAGGGUUUUCCUGCGGUGCUGCAAAAUGGCAAUGAAAUUUGAUUCCAGGGUUUCGGGGUUUAUUUUACAACGCUUUACAGUUGAUGGUAAAGCCUGUAAUGGGCCGUUUUUGAAUUAGCCCAUUUUAAUCCCUUCUUUUUUGGCAUGUGUUGAAAAAUACAAGGGAAGUAAGUAUAAAAGAGAGUAACAGGUGUAUUGAAAAAUUAAUAAUUCGUGUCUAUUUGUAACGAAAUAAUAAUAAUUUCAU